GGAUAUAGCUUAGUGGUAGAGUGUGUGCUUAGCAUGCAUGAGGUCCUGGGUUCGAUCUCCAUUACCUCCA
This 70-nucleotide transfer RNA is filed under the name Camelus bactrianus (Bactrian camel). It matches the Rfam family "tRNA". From Rfam's summary of the family: Transfer RNA (tRNA) molecules are approximately 80 nucleotides in length. Their secondary structure includes four short double-helical elements and three loops (D, anti-codon, and T loops). RNAcentral also lists the same sequence under 1 other name. Lineage: Eukaryota; Metazoa; Chordata; Mammalia; Artiodactyla; Camelidae. The record is from Rfam by way of RNAcentral.